CCCCCGCCCUGGGACUGGGAACGCCGGAGCGCCGGGAUCGGCUGGCGGCCGCACGCUCCGUGGGAUGCAGGUUGUUCUCCCGGCCCUGAGGAGGAGGACGGGCGCUGGGCGCCGCCGGCCACUCCCUGGCGCUGGAGCGAGGAGGAGGCUGCUCCCGGCGACGGAUGGAGCCCGGAAUCAGGAAGGCUGCUGGGAUGGUCCCUGGCGCAGGGGCUGCCGCCA
This is a long non-coding RNA of Nothoprocta perdicaria, 222 nucleotides long. RefSeq lists it as uncharacterized. The record is from RefSeq and is a predicted model, not a curated record. The transcript is spliced from 3 exons. Lineage: Eukaryota; Metazoa; Chordata; Aves; Tinamiformes; Tinamidae.